CACAGUUUACAUUUUUCUCUGACUUAUAAUAACCUUUUUUCUGAUUUUUAACAACUUUCCUCUGACCUUUUAUAACUUGCUUUGACCCUCCAUAACUUUCUGUAACAAUCUUCUCUGCUAUGACUUGCUUGCUUUAAUUUUCUAUAACCUUUUAGUUCAUUUCUCUGACUCUCUUAGACAUUCUUAGACAAGUUUUCUUUUUUUUUUCUUUCCCUCUUUAUUAUUUAAGUCUCCUACAUUUUUUUUUUUCCUCAGUUAACAUCAAAAUUUUAUCAAAGUCCUUUUUACAGUUCUUAAUAACUUUAAGGCCGUUUAGAUGUCCGGAUCAGGCCAGAUAAGUUUAUACGCUCGAGCUGAGGAACAAAGAGUAAUUCAUUUGCGUUUAUGCACAUCAAUUAUAAAACAAAGGCCAAACAACACAGAACACAGAACAGGUUUUCGCAGCGCAGUUUUCAAAGUACAAAUCCCUCACAUUGAGGGCUUCCCAAGUCCAAAAUACAAAUCUCUCACACAGAGGGCUUCAAACGCUACCAGGACGUCUCCUGGAGCCGCGGUCGGGAGUUCGGACCCGUCAGUCCCUCCUCGGAUCCGCCUACAAAUGUACACAGCUGUAUACUACAAACGCAAGCACAAUUCACAAGACAGACUCAGACCAGACAAGACAAAACAGCGGAUCCGCACAACACUUACCUCCCAGACGUGGGUCGGUGGUCCCUGGGCGGGUCUCAAUCCCGGACCGAGCCCCCAAAUGAAAGACCCCAAAGAGGCACUUUCGUAGAGGGAGACCCACACACCCAGGAACCAGCGAGGCCACGAACUGGAUGUAAAAAAACAAGAGGCUUUAUUGGAGACGCAGGUACCUGGGGCGACUUAGCUUCUGUGUGGCUAAGCGCGCCCGCCCCAAGGGAAAGGCGUCCUUAUAUAGGGAAAAAGGCGCAAGCUAGGAGCAGGGAUUCUAUUUGAUGGUUCAAAUGAGGCACAGAGCCAUUCCAGAUCAGCAUAUUCUCAAGGUCUGGUGUCUGGUACAACAGACUUGAUUCC
This 1041-nucleotide long non-coding RNA is filed under the name Cricetulus griseus (Chinese hamster). RNAcentral describes it as "lncRNA (ENSCGRG00015039453.1)". The record is from RNAcentral. Lineage: Eukaryota; Metazoa; Chordata; Mammalia; Rodentia; Cricetidae.